This is a non-coding RNA of Paramuricea clavata, 1001 nucleotides long. The record is from the annotation of a GenBank genome assembly. Lineage: Eukaryota; Metazoa; Cnidaria; Anthozoa; Malacalcyonacea; Plexauridae.
AUUUUCGUCAUUCGUGACAUGUAAACCAAAUAUCAAACAUGUUUGAUAUUUUUCGUCAUUCGUGACAAAAACAUUCUCGUGUGCGGCGAGCAAACGACAAGCGCGCCUGAAUAGAAAAAUUUGCGCAUGCGUGCAACUUGCAGAAUUAAAAACAACAUGGCGGAUCAAAAUCACGAGCUCGCGUCUUGUUUUUAAUUCUGCAAGUUACCGCAUGCGCAAAUUUUCCUAUUCAGGCGCGCUUGUCGUUUGCUCGCCGCACACGAGAAUUUUUUUGUCACGACUGACGAAAAAUAUCAAACAAAAAUGUUUGAUAUUUGGUUUACAUGUCACGAAUGACGAAAAUGCCGUAAAUGUUGCCCGCACACGAGGAAAUUUUGUGGAUCCAACUUGUCACGAAUAACAAGUACGCGUGACAAGUGCGCUCGUGUGCGGCGGGCUUUACAAGGAGAUGUUCUUAACUAAAUUUUAAUACAUGCACCUUGUCAAUAUUUUACGCAUCAUUACUUUCAGCUUUUUGGUAGGGCAUUCAAUUUUAACAAUAAGUGUGCAGACACACAUGUGCAGCUCGUCAAGUCUUGCUACUUGGAGCCUUACUUGGAGGGGAUAUUUCAUUGAAUCCUGUUCCCACUGGAAAUAAAGCCAUACAAAGGCAGCAAAUGUGAACACUGUGACUGUGAGAGAACAAUUAAAAUUAACCACAAAGAAAUUUCUUCUAUCAAAAAUCUACUGAGAUAUAUUCAUUCCAUACAUAAAGAUAUUACUUAGUACAGUUAGGAUUUUGAAAAGUCCGGCCUAUCGUAUAGAUCUUCAGCAUGCAACUCAAAUUUAUCAUUUAUGCACUUUAAUUCCCAAAUUAAUGACUAUUUAACUGCCAUGUUUAUGUUUCGAUAUCACCAUCUUAAAAAUCUACCUGAAGAAUUUGAUAAUUUUUUUGUGAGUAGUAAUCAAAUUCAUCAGCAUAACACGAGAAACGCAUCCAAACUUUACAAGCAAUAUAAAAG